GCACGAAACUUAGCCCGUGCUUCCUCUGAGGCUAUGUCAAACUAAGGAGAGAACUCCCUAGCAUUUCAUCCCCUCUGACAGUGGUUUACAACCCAAGGGCCUUCAUCCCACACGCGGCGUCGCUCGGUCAGGGUUUCCCCCAUUGCCGAAGAUUCUCGA
Molecule: ribosomal RNA, 159 nt
Filed under: uncultured bacterium
Lineage: Bacteria
Description: partial 16S ribosomal RNA
Source: RNAcentral